AAGCUGAAUAAACCGGAUUAAAGGAGCAGAGAGGAGCUCCUGCUGCUGCUCCUCCUGCACCGGAGAAACAGACUGAGCCGAAUAUUGCUGGAGGAGAUGAAUCAGUGAAUAAACAGCUGUUAUUAGCUGUUUUUUGAUUGAAAGAAGAGUAUCCUCAGAAAGAAGAGGAUAGAGAUAGAGGUGAAUGUCAGCAGGCAGGAGGAGAUCUGGAGGACAGUGUUCAGGCACGAGCUACCAGUAAAGAGUGGAUACAGAAAAGCUUGGACCCCAAAAUGUCUUGAAAAUGAAGCCGUCGUUUUGGGUUCAGUCGGUGGUGGUUCGUCGGUACCAGAAUCUGGCUCUGAAGUCGUCGCUGCAGGUCAUGAAGCCGGGGUUGGUGGGUGAGUGGACGAUGCAGCGGACGAUGUUGUUGUGUCCGAGGCUCAGCAGGUUCUUGCGCUCGGCCGUGCGAGAGUCCCAGCAGCACAGGCUGACGGUGCGCUCGUCCGGCAGCAGGAUAUAAUCCUCCGUGUGAUUAAACACGCCCUGAGUACGGUGCGUCUGACGCCCACUCAGACCCGCGCCUGCAGUACAACACACACCAGGACAGAGAUGCUCUGUUCCUGAUGUUGCUCAGGCUGGAUCUCUACUGCUGUACAUACAGACGUUUAAACUGAGAAUAUUGUACUGAGUUUAAAUGGGAGAUUUAAUAAAGGAAAUAAAUUAACUAAAUAAAGUG
Molecule: long non-coding RNA, 718 nt
Organism: Astyanax mexicanus (Mexican tetra)
Lineage: Eukaryota; Metazoa; Chordata; Actinopteri; Characiformes; Acestrorhamphidae
Exons: 5
Source: RefSeq, a predicted model, not a curated record